RNAcentral lists this long non-coding RNA (353 nucleotides) under Elaeis guineensis (African oil palm). RNAcentral's name for it is "long non-coding RNA (EGUI_LNC080430)". The record is from RNAcentral. Lineage: Eukaryota; Viridiplantae; Streptophyta; Magnoliopsida; Arecales; Arecaceae.
GGUUUCAGGGUUAGAUCUUGAAACUUUUUCAAGAUCAUACAGCGGAAGACUAAAAUAAAUCAAAAUUUAUUUUCUAAAACUAGAGAAUUCCUAGAUUUAAGAUCCUAUUACAUGAUUAUUACAUAGCAUUAAAUCAAAAAUUAAAAUAUAUAUAUACAGCAUGAACUACAUGUUGAUCAUAUCAACAUAUUUCUAUACUACAUCUAAUGUAUGUAUUAAACAAUAGAUCAGAUCUAUUACCUUGCAAGUUAGACAUUCUAACCUCGCUGAUCCGGGCUUGAGGAUGAUGUUGCAAGCCACACAUACAUCCGGCCUCUAGGAGUCAUCCACACGAGCCCACAAAUCUCAAUCAG